AUACAGAGGGUGCGAGCGUUAAUCGGAAUUACUGGGCGUAAAGCGCGCGUAGGCGGCUUAUUAAGUCAGAUGUGAAAUCCCCGGGCUCAACCUGGGAACUGCAUCUGAUACUGGUAAGCUAGAGUUUUGGAGAGGGAAGUAGAAUUUCAGGUGUAGCGGUGAAAUGCAUAGAGAUCUGAAGGAAUACCAGUGGCGAAGGCGACUUCCUGGCCAAAGACUGACGCUGAGGUGCGAAAGCGUGGGUAGCAAACGGGAUUAGAAACCCUAGUAGUCC
Molecule: ribosomal RNA, 274 nt
Filed under: uncultured bacterium
Lineage: Bacteria
Description: partial 16S ribosomal RNA
Rfam family: Bacterial small subunit ribosomal RNA
Source: RNAcentral